This 498-nucleotide ribosomal RNA is filed under the name uncultured Bacteroidota bacterium. RNAcentral's name for it is "bacterial SSU rRNA". It matches the Rfam family "Bacterial small subunit ribosomal RNA", at positions 8 to 500 of the family's 1533-position model. Lineage: Bacteria; Pseudomonadati; Bacteroidota. The record is from RNAcentral.
AGGCUUUGAUCCUGGCUCAGGAUGAACGCUAGCGGCAGGCCUAACACAUGCAAGUCGAGGGGCAGCGCGAUGUAGCAAUACAUUGGCGGCGACCGGCGCACGGGUGCGUAACACGUAUGGAACCUGCCCUCUACUGGGAGAUAGCCCGGAGAAAUCCGGAUUAAUAUCCCAUAACAGCCCGGGUGGCAUCACCUGGUCUUGAAAGCUCCGGCGGUAGAGGAUGGCCAUGCGCCCGAUUAGCUAGUAGGUGAGGUAACGGCUCACCUAGGCUACGAUCGGUAGGGGGCCUGAGAGGGUUAUCCCCCACACUGGUACUGAGACACGGACCAGACUCCUACGGGAGGCAGCAGUGAGGAAUAUUGCGCAAUGGAGGCAACUCUGACGCAGCCAUGCCGCGUGCAGGAAGACGGCCCUACGGGUUGUAAACUGCUUUUAUCAGGGAAGAAACCCCGGGACGUGUCCAGGGUUGACGGUACCUGAGGAAUAAGCACCGGCGUA